Molecule: ribosomal RNA, 392 nt
Filed under: uncultured bacterium
Lineage: Bacteria
Description: partial 16S ribosomal RNA
Rfam family: Bacterial small subunit ribosomal RNA
Source: RNAcentral
AUACGGAGGAUCCGAGCGUUAUCCGGAUUUAUUGGGUUUAAAGGGUGCGCAGGCGGCCAUUUAAGUCAGCGGUUAAAUCGUGGGGCUCAACCCCAUUCUGCCGUUGAUACUGGGUGGCUUGAUUGCGGUCGAGGUUCGCGGAAUUCGUUGUGUAGCGGUGAAAUGCAUAGAUAUGACGAAGAACACCGAUUGCGUAGGCAUCUGACCAGACCGCAAAUGACGCUCAUGCACGAAAGUGCGGGGAUCGAACAGGAUUAGAUACCCUGGUAGUCCGCACAGUAAACGAUGAAUACUUGUUUUCGGUGAUAUAAUGUCGGAGGCAAAGCGAAAGCGAUAAGUAUUCCACCUGGGGAGUACGCCGGCAACGGUGAAACUCAAAUGAAUUGGCGGGG